Molecule: ribosomal RNA, 460 nt
Filed under: uncultured bacterium
Lineage: Bacteria
Description: partial 16S ribosomal RNA
Rfam family: Bacterial small subunit ribosomal RNA
Source: RNAcentral
CCUACGGGUGGCAGCAGUGAGGAAUAUUGGUCAAUGGACGAGAGUCUGAACCAGCCAAGUAGCGUGAAGGAUGACUGCCCUAUGGGUUGUAAACUUCUUUUAUAUGGGAAUAAAAUGUUCCACGUGUGGGAUUUUGUAUGUACCAUAUGAAUAAGGAUCGGCUAACUCCGUGCCAGCAGCCGCGGUAAUACGGUGGAUCCGAGCGUUAUCCGGAUUUAUUGGGUUUAAAGGGAGCGUAGGUGGAUUGUUAAGUCAGUUGUGAAAGUUUGCGGCUCAACCGUAAAAUUGCAGUUGAAACUGGCAGUCUUGAGUACAGUAGAGGUGGGCGGAAUUCGUGGUGUAGCGGUGAAAUGCUUAGAUAUCACGAAGAACUCCGAUUGCGAAGGCAGUUCACUGGACUGCAACUGACACUGAGGCUCGAAAGUGUGGGUAUCAAACAGGAUUAGAUACCCGAGUAGUC